AUACGGAGGGUGCGAGCGUUAAUCGGAAUUACUGGGCGUAAAGCGUGCGUAGGCGGAUUAUUAAGCAAGAUGUGAAAGCCCAGGGCUCAACCUUGGAACUGCAUUUUGAACUGGUAGUCUAGAGUACUGUAGAGGGUGGUGGAAUUUCCAGUGUAGCGGUGAAAUGCGUAGAGAUUGGAAGGAACAUCAGUGGCGAAGGCGGCCACCUGGACAGAUACUGACGCUGAGGCACGAAAGCGUGGGGAGCGAACAGGAUUAGAAACCCUAGUAGUCC
Molecule: ribosomal RNA, 274 nt
Filed under: uncultured bacterium
Lineage: Bacteria
Description: partial 16S ribosomal RNA
Rfam family: Bacterial small subunit ribosomal RNA
Source: RNAcentral